This 497-nucleotide ribosomal RNA is filed under the name uncultured bacterium. RNAcentral describes it as "partial 16S ribosomal RNA". It matches the Rfam family "Bacterial small subunit ribosomal RNA", at positions 28 to 507 of the family's 1533-position model. The record is from RNAcentral.
GAUGAACGCUGGCGGCGUGCCUAAUACAUACAAGUCGAGCGAACAGACGAGGAGCUUGCUCCUCUGACGUUAGCGGCGGACGGGUGAGUAACACGUGGAUAACCUACCUAUAAGACUGGGAUAACUUCGGGAAACCGGAGCUAAUACCGGAUAAUAUAUUGAACCGCAUGGUUCAAUAGUGAAAGACGGUUUUGCUGUCACUUAUAGAUGGAUCCGCGCCGCAUUAGCUAGUUGGUAAGGUAACGGCUUACCAAGGCAACGAUGCGUAGCCGACCUGAGAGGGUGAUCGGCCACACUGGAACUGAGACACGGUCCAGACUCCUACGGGAGGCAGCAGUAGGGAAUCUUCCGCAAUGGGCGAAAGCCUGACGGAGCAACGCCGCGUGAGUGAUGAAGGUCUUCGGAUCGUAAAACUCUGUUAUUAGGGAAGAACAAAUGUGUAAGUAACUAUGCACGUCUUGACGGUACCUAAUCAGAAAGCCACGGCUAACUACGUG